This 441-nucleotide ribosomal RNA is filed under the name uncultured Streptococcus sp. Its description in RNAcentral is "bacterial SSU rRNA". It matches the Rfam family "Bacterial small subunit ribosomal RNA", at positions 941 to 1382 of the family's 1533-position model. Lineage: Bacteria; Bacillati; Bacillota; Bacilli; Lactobacillales; Streptococcaceae. The record is from RNAcentral.
GUGGUUUAAUUCGAAGCAACGACGAAGAACCUUACCAGGUCUUGACAUCCCGAUGCUAUUUCUAGAGAUAGAAGUUACUUCGGUACAUCGGUGACAGGUGGUUGCAUGGUUGUCGUCAGCUCGUGUCGUGAGAUGUUGGUUAAGUCCCGCAACGAGCGCAACCCCUAUUGUUAGUUGCCAUCAUUCAGUUGGGCACUCUAGCGAGACUGCCGGUAAUAAACCGGAGGAAGGUGGGGAUGACGUCAAAUCAUCAUGCCCCUUAUUGACCUGGGCUACACACGUGCUACAAUGGUUGGUACAACGAGUUGCGAGUCGGUGACGGCGAGCUAAUCUCUUAAAGCCAAUCUCAGUUCGGAUUGCAGGCUGCAACUCGCCUGCAUGAAGCCGGAAUCGCUAGUAAUCGCGGAUCAGCAUGCCGCGGUGAAUACGUUCCCGGGCCUU